RNAcentral lists this ribosomal RNA (523 nucleotides) under uncultured eukaryote. RNAcentral's name for it is "bacterial SSU rRNA". It matches the Rfam family "Eukaryotic small subunit ribosomal RNA", at positions 21 to 549 of the family's 1831-position model. The record is from RNAcentral.
UAGUUACAUGCUUGUCUCAAAGAUUCAUCCAUGCAUGUCUAAGUAUAAAUGAUUUUACAGUGAAACUGCAAAUGGCUCAUUAAAUCAGUUAUAAUUUACUUGACUUUUAACUUACUACUUGGAUACCUGUGGUAAUUCUAGAGCUAAUACAUGCGUUAAAGCCUGACUUCUGGAAGGGCUGUAUUUAUUAAAUAAAAAACCAAUGCAGCAAUGCUUUUUUGGUGAAUCAUAGUAACUUGUCAAAUCGUAUGGCCUUGUGCCGGCAAUGCGUCAUUCAAAUUUCUGCCCUAUCAACUUUCGAUGGUAGGAUAAAGGCCUACCAUGGUUUUAACGGGUAACGAAAAAUUAGGGUUUGAUUCCGGAGAGGGAGCCUGAAAAACGGCUACCACUUCUACGGAAGGCAGCAGGCGCGCAAAUUACCCAAUGGUGACACACCGAGGUAGUGACAAUAAAUAACAAUGCGAGCCCUCUUGGGUUUGCAAUUGGAAUGAAAACAACUUAAUAAACUUAUCGAGUAACAAUU